UACGUAGGGUGCGAGCGUUACUCGGAAUUACUGGGCGUAAAGCGUGCGCAGGCGGUUCGCCAAGUCAGGUGUGAAAUCCCCGGGCUUAACCUGGGAAUUGCGCUUGAAACUAGCGGGCUUGAGUGUGGCAGAGGGGGGUGGAAUUCCACGUGUAGCAGUGAAAUGCGUAGAGAUGUGGAGGAACACCGAUGGCGAAGGCAGCCCCCUGGGUCAACACUGACGCUCAUGCACGAAAGCAUGGGGAGCAAAAGGG
This 253-nucleotide ribosomal RNA is filed under the name uncultured bacterium. RNAcentral's name for it is "partial 16S ribosomal RNA". It matches the Rfam family "Bacterial small subunit ribosomal RNA", at positions 524 to 776 of the family's 1533-position model. The record is from RNAcentral.